Molecule: long non-coding RNA, 468 nt
Filed under: Ananas comosus (pineapple)
Lineage: Eukaryota; Viridiplantae; Streptophyta; Magnoliopsida; Poales; Bromeliaceae
Description: long non-coding RNA (ACOM_LNC013571)
Source: RNAcentral
UCACUCGUUUACCGCCUUGACAAAGGCGGUGAAUAGUUUACCGCCUUAUCUAGGCAUUCUGAUCAGGCGGUUUUUCGUUUACCGCCUUAUCUAUGCCCCCUGAGCAAAUCCGUGUCUUUAGUGUAGAACUCCACCCAGCCUAAUUUCGCUAAGUUCUCGAGAGGGGGGCUAAAACACAUAUAAGACGGUGAGUAGUUCACCGUCUCAUUUGGGCUCCACUACACACGGUUAACACCGUCUUUAGCGUCUGACUCCUAGAGAAGACGGUGAAUUAUUUACCGCCUUCAAGACGUUAGACCUAAAGACGGUGAACGAGUCACCAUCUUUGUGAGAAAUACUGAUGUGACGGCUGAGGUAACGAGAGGAGGGUUAGUUUUACAAAUAAAAAUUUCACAAAAUUAAUUUGGUAAUUACGAAAUUUUAGAGAAUUAUUUUCGAAAAAAGUCCACUAGGCAAAUGGACGGGAGU